GUGCCAGCCGCCGCGGUAAUACGGAGGGGGUUAGCGUUGUUCGGAAUUACUGGGCGUAAAGCGCGCGUAGGCGGACUAUUAAGUCAGGGGUGAAAUCCCGGGGCUCAACCCCGGAACUGCCUUUGAUACUGGUAGUCUAGAGUUCGAGAGAGGUGAGUGGAAUUCCGAGUGUAGAGGUGAAAUUCGUAGAUAUUCGGAGGAACACCAGUGGCGAAGGCGGCUCACUGGCUCGAUACUGACGCUGAGGUGCGAAAGUGUGGGGAGCAAACAGGAUUAGAUACCCUGGUAGUCCACACCGUAAACGAUGAAUGCCAGUCGUCGGGUAGCAUGCUAUUCGGUGACACACCUAACGGAUUAAGCAUUCCGCCUGGGGAGUACGGUCGCAAGAUUAAAACUUAAAUGAAUUGGCGGGG
RNAcentral lists this ribosomal RNA (413 nucleotides) under uncultured bacterium. RNAcentral describes it as "bacterial SSU rRNA". It matches the Rfam family "Bacterial small subunit ribosomal RNA", at positions 505 to 918 of the family's 1533-position model. The record is from RNAcentral.